ACUCCUGCGGGAGGCAGCAGUGGGGAAUAUUGCACAAUGGGCGCAAGCCUGAUGCAGCCAUGCCGCGUGUAUGAAGAAGGCCUUCGGGUUGUAAAGUACUUUCAGCGGGGAGGAAGGCGAUAAGGUUAAUAACCUUGUUGAUUGACGUUACCCGCAGAAGAAGCACCGGCUAACUCCGUGCCAGCAGCCGCGGUAAUACGGAGGGUGCAAGCGUUAAUCGGAAUUACUGGGCGUAAAGCGCACGCAGGCGGUCUGUCAAGUCGGAUGUGAAAUCCCCGGGCUCAACCUGGGAACUGCAUUCGAAACUGGCAGGCUAGAGUCUUGUAGAGGGGGGUAGAAUUCCAGGUGUAGCGGUGAAAUGCGUAGAGAUCUGGAGGAAUACCGGUGGCGAAGGCUGCCCCCUGGACAAAGACUGACGCUCAGGUGCGAAAGCGUGGGGAGCAAACAGGAUUAGAAACCCCUGUAGUCCCAUGA
RNAcentral lists this ribosomal RNA (474 nucleotides) under uncultured organism. RNAcentral's name for it is "partial 16S ribosomal RNA". It matches the Rfam family "Bacterial small subunit ribosomal RNA", at positions 335 to 800 of the family's 1533-position model. The record is from RNAcentral.